RNAcentral lists this ribosomal RNA (407 nucleotides) under uncultured bacterium. RNAcentral's name for it is "partial 16S ribosomal RNA". It matches the Rfam family "Bacterial small subunit ribosomal RNA", at positions 28 to 526 of the family's 1533-position model. The record is from RNAcentral.
GACGAACGCUGGCGGCGUGCCUAAUACAUGCAAGUAGGACGCAGUUGCGAACGGGUGAGUAACGCGUAGGUAACUACUUCUCAGAGGGGGAUAAUUAUUGGAAACGAUAGCUAAUACCGCCUACUAGUAGAUGGACCUGCGUUGUAUUAGCUAGUAGGUAGGGUAAUGGCCUACCUAGGCAAAGAUACAUAGCCGACCUGGGUGGGGGAUCGGGCACACUGGGACUGGAACACGGCCCAGACUCCAACUGGAAGCAGCAGUAGGGGAGCUGCGGAAAUGGGGGGAGGCCUUACCGUGCAACGCCGCGUGAGUGAAGAAGGUUUUCGGAUCGUAAGGCUCUGUUGUUAAGGAAGCGGUACUUAACCAGAAAGGGACGGCUAACUACGUGCCAGCAGCCGCGGUAAUUC